Molecule: transfer RNA, 84 nt
Filed under: Canis lupus familiaris (dog)
Lineage: Eukaryota; Metazoa; Chordata; Mammalia; Carnivora; Canidae
Also listed under: 1 other name
Rfam family: tRNA
About the family: Transfer RNA (tRNA) molecules are approximately 80 nucleotides in length. Their secondary structure includes four short double-helical elements and three loops (D, anti-codon, and T loops).
Source: Rfam by way of RNAcentral
GCCUGGGUGGCUCAGUGGUUGAGCAUCUGCCUUUGGUUCAGGACAUGAAUCCUGAGGUCCUGGGAUCGAGUCCCACAUCAGGCU